UAGAAACAGAGGAUAGCAAUUGCAAAAGCCAUGUGCGUAAAUAAACACACAACCAACAAUAUAAAGCUCAAACUUUAGUUAAAACUAUAACAGUAAUUGCGAGUAAAAUUGAAAAUAAAAUCUUGAACCAAAAAUUAUACUUUAGAGUAUAGGAGUAUUUUCUACCAAAAGAAAAAACAACUAAACUCUAGAUCCUUGUUUCUCUAUGAUCAUGAAGCUCUAAACUUCAAGCUUAACAUUCAUAAAUCAUAAAUCUUGUUGGUAUGGAUAUGAAGCUGCUCUCAUCAAAUCCUGAAAAAAUAUAUUUAAAAGUCACUUUAGUAUGCAUAGAUCUCCAAAUACGUUAUGAACAUAUAGGAACAUAGCUAGAGCAAACCUACCGUGAACGAGGUGGGAUAUCCACUUCAAUUGUCGUCUAUUUGUUCUUGAAAUGAUUUCAAAUAUGGUUGAAAUUGCUUUAUGAAAGAACCAAAUAAAAAUAACAAUUUAUUAGGGAUACUAAGUACAUGAAAAUAAGUAUUAAUCAACAAAUUACAUGAAGCAUCAAAAGAAGAUUUUACCACAGUAGGAGUUGCACUAAGUGGUGAUGUUGUGCCUUUGGAUUCCCCUUCAACAUUAGAUCUUGAAUUGUACAUCAAAUAUUACAGUUACAAUUGAAUUUAGACAAUUAUUGCAUCAUAUAAAGUGAGAUUACCUUACUCCCUUGCUCUUGCCCUUGCCUUUGGCUACGUAAACUUUGGAUUUGCCCUUUUUGUUUGUUAGAAGUGCUUUUUUAGUCCUUUAAAGAACUUUCUAAACCACCUCUGGUUCUCAAAGAAUUAGGACGUCCUUUAGUUAUCACACAUAUAGGGUCUUCUAGCAAGGUAGUAUUUUGUCUCUGUUCACUUGUGUUUAAUUUCACAUUUGAUUCAUUAACCAAAUCAUCACAUACAUUAUCCUCUUCAACCUCAUAAGGAAGCUCAUCAAAUUCUUAACAUAAUUGGGACUAUUUUUCAUAUGCAAAUUUAUAAUGCCUCUCAGACCGUGUAGCUCGUUCGGAGAGACCAAGAACAUGCAUCAUAAUGUUAUUGAACCAUAUAGAGGAAGGCUUCAAAUUAUUCACAUGCGAUUUGUCAUUUGAAGUGUCAUCAACUUUCUCUUUGGUUGCAUACCCUGUCCACCGAUUCAACAGAUAACAUGGUGGAAGUGAGUAAAUUUGUUUUUUUAAUAAAUACUACAAGCACAUGCCUGCGUAAGUAAGAUUCCUAUAAACUCAAACUUACAACAAGAACAAGUAACAUUUUUCAGUAUAAGGUUCAGCCUACAAUGCAUGCAGGUGUUUGUUUUUGAAACAAAUGAACUUAACAGACAUAUACUCCACCCCGAACCUCAAUUUUUUCUGAAACAAAUUUUCAAAAUAUUUUUCUGGUACCUUUGCUGCUUCAUUCUCCAUGGGAUAUAAAGUCUUCAAGAUAGCCUUCGAAUGUUUUAUCUUAUAUUCCUUCUCCAUUAUUUUAUCAUACCUACCAUCAACGACU
This 1517-nucleotide long non-coding RNA is filed under the name Capsicum annuum. RNAcentral's name for it is "long non-coding RNA (CANN_LNC000556)". Lineage: Eukaryota; Viridiplantae; Streptophyta; Magnoliopsida; Solanales; Solanaceae. The record is from RNAcentral.